This 364-nucleotide ribosomal RNA is filed under the name Salmonella enterica subsp. enterica serovar Bovismorbificans. RNAcentral's name for it is "bacterial SSU rRNA". It matches the Rfam family "Bacterial small subunit ribosomal RNA", at positions 1 to 354 of the family's 1533-position model. Lineage: Bacteria; Pseudomonadati; Pseudomonadota; Gammaproteobacteria; Enterobacterales; Enterobacteriaceae. The record is from RNAcentral.
UUUAUGGAGAGUUUGAUCCUGGCUCAGGAUGAACGCUGGCGGCGUGCCUAAUACAUGCAAGUCGAGCGAACAGAUAAGGAGCUUGCUCCUUUGACGUUAGCGGCGGACGGGUGAGUAACACGUGGAUAACCUACCUAUAAGACUGGGAUAACUUCGGGAAACCGGAGCUAAUACCGGAUAACAUAUUGAACCGCAUGGUUCAAUAGUGAAAGGCGGCUUUGCUGUCACUUAUAGAUGGAUCCGCGCCGUAUUAGCUAGUUGGUAAGGUAACGGCUUACCAAGGCAACGAUACGUAGCCGACCUGAGAGGGUGAUCGGCCACACUGGAACUGAGACACGGUCCAGACUCCUACGGGAGGCAGCAG